AUGAGAGCUCUCACGCCUUCCCCUCCACAAUCACACCAUCCUCCUCUGCUCCCCCUGCUCCUCUUCACCUCUGCUCCAUUACCUUCUUUCUCUGCCUGCCUGGGGGAGCUAGCUAGAAAGAGAGAAAGAAAGAAGCUCGCCGGCGUCGGGGAGGAUGUCGGACUGGGGGGCGGUGGUGAUUGCGGUGGUGCUGUCGCCGGGGCUGCUGCUGCAGCUCCCCGGGAAGCACCACUUCGUGGAGUUCGGAAACAUGCACACCAGCGCCAUGGCCAUCCUCGUCCACGCCAUCCAUCCAUCCCAACUGGACUUGUUCGACAGGAAAGGAAGAUGGCUGAUUCCCCAGCCUGCUCUAUAUGUUGGGCGGAGGAGGACACUUGGCACCAUUCACUACUCAGUUGCUAUAUGGCAAGAUUUGUGUGGGUGUUGGAAGACGAAGAGCAGCUCGAGCAUGUGAUCUCAAACCAAAACAAAAAUGCAAGGUUAUGGCUGUUCUGGCUCUUUAAGACAACAAACCAACAAGAUCUUGCUCGAGUAUUGGUAACUAUGUGGGCAAUAUGGUGGGCUCGGAGGAAGGCAAUCCAUGAGAAUGAAUACCAGAGCCCGCUCUCAACUAGGCCUCGGGCAAGAAUUUGGUUACCUCCUUCGGGUGAUGCAGCUAAACUUAACUGUGAUGGUGGUCUAUCAACUCUGGGGGAGAGAGGAGCAGCUGGAGUUGUCUGUCGAGACAAGUUUGGGAAGUUUUUAGGCGCGUCAGCGGUGGUCUUCGACGGCCUGACCAACCCGGCAAGCUUGGAGGCACAAGCUUGCAGCGAGGCGCUAGCCCUCACACGGGAUUUCAAUCUACAGGAGCUAGUGAUUGCCUCAGAUUGUGUCGAAGUGAUAUCAAAUAUCAACAAGGCAGGUUCACCAUCUUAUGCUCCUAUCCUAGGACGAGACUUGCCUGCUCCCUUCCCGUGCUCCUAUCCGUGCUCCCGCCGCCGACGCACGACUCGCUGCAUGCGCGCAUCUAGGGUAGUUGGGCGAAACUUGGCCGGCGGCAGCACUGCGCAACCAACCCAGAUCAGCGGCGACGGCCGAAGCUGUCAUGUCGUGCCCGGCGACCACAACGAGAGACGCGCAAGAAUACAAAUCCUAUGGGCAGUCUCCCUGUUGACUAGUAUCAUGUUACCGAUCCAAAAAUCCGAAUUAGGUCACAUCAUUUUCUUUGAUUUAGAUGGAAUUAGCUAG
RNAcentral lists this ribosomal RNA (1227 nucleotides) under Triticum aestivum (bread wheat). RNAcentral's name for it is "partial small subunit ribosomal RNA". The record is from RNAcentral. Lineage: Eukaryota; Viridiplantae; Streptophyta; Magnoliopsida; Poales; Poaceae.